GCAUUGGUGGUGUAAUGGCAACAUUCAGACUUCCCAUGUCUGAGCACCGGGUUCGAUUCCCGGCCAAUGCA
The sequence is a transfer RNA, 71 nucleotides long. It matches the Rfam family "tRNA". From Rfam's summary of the family: Transfer RNA (tRNA) molecules are approximately 80 nucleotides in length. Their secondary structure includes four short double-helical elements and three loops (D, anti-codon, and T loops). The record is from Rfam.